CCUACGGGAGGCAGCAGUGAGGAAUAUUGGGCAAUGGACGAGAGUCUGAACCAGCCAAGUAGCGUGAAGGAUGACCGCCCUAUGGGUUGUAAACUUCUUUUAUAAAGGAAUAAAACGAGGCACGUGUGCCUUUUUGCAUGUACUUUAUGAAGAAGGAACGGCUAACUCAGUGCCAGCAGCCGCGGUAAUACGGAGGAUACGAGGGGUAGUUGGAUUUAUUGGGUUUAACGGGAGCGUAGAUGGGUUGGUAAGUCAGUUGUGAAAGUUUGCGGCUCAACCGUAAAAGUGCAAUUGAUACUGGCAGUCUUGAGUACAGUUGAGGUAGGCGGAAUUCGUGGUGUAGCGGUGAAAUGCUUAGAUAUCACGAAGAACCCCGAUUGCGAAGGCAGCUUACUAAACUGUGACUGACAUUGAUGCUCGAAAGUGUGGGUAUCAAACAGGAUUAGAUACCCGGGUAGUC
Molecule: ribosomal RNA, 460 nt
Filed under: uncultured bacterium
Lineage: Bacteria
Description: partial 16S ribosomal RNA
Rfam family: Bacterial small subunit ribosomal RNA
Source: RNAcentral